This is a long non-coding RNA of Megalobrama amblycephala (Wuchang bream), 2409 nucleotides long. RefSeq lists it as uncharacterized. The transcript is spliced from 3 exons. NCBI's taxonomy places the organism in Eukaryota, Metazoa, Chordata, Actinopteri, Cypriniformes, Xenocyprididae. The record is from RefSeq and is a predicted model, not a curated record.
UUAGCUUCUCUCCUUUCAUUGUGCCCAUAUAUAUACGCACAGAGCACACAUAGGCUACUGUAUGAAAUACAGACAGAUAGUUGAGUAUCUCUUAAGCAAUUUAUUUUAUACAGCCCCCCACCCAGAAGAUCCCUGUUAAAAACAAAGCAGCUCAUCAGGUGUUAUUACUUACUGUAACCACUAGAUGUCACUCUUGCCACACUGUGGAUUUCACAGCUCAAGUUAAAAGCAUCUGUGGCUCUAAGAUGUAGCUAAAUAAAAAAAACUAAAAAAAACAUAAAUCUACUAUACCCGUACUCACAUAUCUAAUAUGUAAAGUAAUCAUAUAUGAAAAUCUAUCCAUCCAUUCCUGGCUGUAUUUCUAUCUGCAAUGUGUGUAAAACCAUGCCUGUCUCUGCUCAAACAAAUUAAACACCUGCUUUUGAUCAGUGUAUGACUAGACCUCUGUAGAUGAGAGACCGUUCAUAUUUCAUAUUCAUAUAUGUGUUGAAGGUUCUAUGUACCUGUAGCUGCCCUAAUAAGAGCCUCUUAGCUAUAUAAAGUUCAAUAACGACUGUAUGGGGGAGAUGGACAGCUCCUAAUCAUUAGGGAGGAUUCAGGUUUGGGCUUUUUCACCUCCUCCUCUCUCUUUCUCCAUCUCUCUCCUGUGAUCUAUCAUUCAUGGGCUUCAUUUAAAAUUGCGUAAAAUAUUUAAAGUUGGUUGGAUUUCUUCAGUGGGCUUCAGCAGUGACCUCCCCCUCAGUGCCUGAAGUCAGUGGAGAAAGAUAUGCAGUGGGGAGAAGGGAGAGAACAAGAGAGAAAAACAGGGCAAAGAGGAAAGGUGUAUAAAAGUAGGAGAGACAGAGACAGAGACAGUGAAGGGAAAAAUGCAGAGCAAGUUACAGUGUUACUUAGCAUUGAACAAAAGCUGUGUUCGGAGGAGAAUACUUGCUUACUAAGUAACGAAUAAUGCACAGUAUACAUUAUAUACGGGUCUACACUUUUUAAAUAAAAAAUCUUAAGUGAAAUGGUAUUAUUCCACUGUAAAUGUUUCAAACAUUAUGUUGUUGUCAUAUGAUCUCAUGAUAUUGCAUGUAAGUGGCAUAUAAUUAUCUUGGAAAUUGAACAUUUGAAAAAAUACUUCCAGUUUAUUCAACAUACUACGUGCAUCCCAAUUUGCAAACGUAUGCAUGAUUUUUUGUAGUGCAAGUAGCAGAGGUGGAACAAAGUACAUUUACUUGAGUAGGCCUGCUGUACUUAAAGGUGCCAUAGGUACUUCUCUACAGAAACAUUUUUUGUUAUACUGGUUGAAAGUCUCUUCAUAUCCUGAUAGCAAUCACUAUCGUCUAUGGAAGGAGUAGGACCAUAAAAUGUUCACCCAAUCAUUAUAUUCGGUCCGAAUGAAAAAAUGUGAUGUCCUACCUACCUGUCAAUGUAUGUUUUUACAUACCCUCGUGCACCCUGUUCACGCAGACAUCAUAUGUCAUCAGCGUGUUUCAUGCUUUGCAGAGUUUAUGUAGACAGACCUCAGUCACGGAGCACUGCGAACAAACAGCAGCCACCUUUUACAGGUCCUACUGAAUCAAAACAACAAGCUUAUGCUGCGUUCACGCCAUAACUACUGUAAUUAAGAGAUGGCAACCUGUGAAGUUCUAACCAGCGCCGUUCAAGUCCUCAGACUCUGUCAACAGCAUCAACACCGAAAUGAAUCUGCAGCAGUCAGGUGACAGACAGCCAAUCAGUAAUCGCUCUUGUAGGGUCACUUGAAGUUCUAUGAUUUCCCACAAUUUUUUUUAGCAUAUUGAGGUAUGUUAACUUUUAAUUUCUGGUGAAAGCUUGAAAUGGAAAUUGUCUGUGAUUUCAGAGCUAAAGUUUCAGUAAGAAGUCAAACGGUUUAUGGAUUUGCCCACCUGGUUACCAUAGCCUUGUGGAUACACAACUAACGCAUAGCUUUCCCUAAGUACCAGAGGGGGAGGGACUAUCAGACUCCGCUGCUGAAUGACAAUGGAGGUCAAUUCUAGCAUAUUGCAUUGUGGAACGUGAACGUUACUGUGCACAGUAUGCUACAGUAUGUGCUGGAGGAAUAGUAUGAAUAAUCGUAACAGUAAUCUUUCUUGUUCUCUGAGACAAAUGUUUCAUAAAGUUGACAUGAAACCAAAACUGAUGCUAUUGACCUUCUUGUGUGUUUUUGAUCUUAUUGUGAACAAUAUAUUGGUGCAUGAUAUUCCAAAUAAAUAAAUUUAAAGAAAUAAAUAUCUUCAUAACCUAUCAUAAACUAAAAAAAUAAAUAACUCGUUCUGCCACUGAAACAACUACUUUGUUUUUACCCUUCUUCACCAACACUGACCACUUUGCACUUCCUAAUGGAUUAAAUAAAACCCCUGGACUCAACUUUUCUUUUUCACUUGGAAAUGCAUCAUAUUACAGAAA